Non-coding RNA from Homo sapiens (human), 117 nucleotides. It matches the Rfam family "Metazoan signal recognition particle RNA". From Rfam's summary of the family: The signal recognition particle (SRP) is a universally conserved ribonucleoprotein. It is involved in the co-translational targeting of proteins to membranes. Lineage: Eukaryota; Metazoa; Chordata; Mammalia; Primates; Hominidae. The record is from Rfam.
GCCGGGUGCGGUGGCUCACGCCUGUAAUCCCAGCACUUUGGGAGGCCGAGGCAGGUGGAUCACCUGAGGUCAGGAGUUCGAGACAAGCCUGGCCAACAUGGUGAAACCCUGUCUCUA